CGGAGUAACGAGAAGCGGGACGUGUCCGGGACAAUCGGGUGAUCGUGUGAACCGAGGUGCUCCUUUGGAACGAUUCCAGCGUCAAACAGGUGAUUCUAUACACAAUGGUGAACCCGCCGUUCAUGCCGUUCGGUUAGCGGAGUGUCGCGAGUGCAAUACGAGGCCUACUCGGACUGACAUGUCGCCGGAACCAGAGAUAGUAGCCAGAGGUUGGCCGAGGUCCUGAUAGCCGCAGCGACCAGGAUCCGGGAUCAUCCAACGGAGAAAGGAUGCCAGGGGGGCGCAGGGGCCUGGUCGCCCCGCAAAACACAUUCCUCGAAAACAUCAUACGUCGUAGCAGCAGUCAACCUGACAGCAGUUUUCUCCUGGCGAACGCUCAGAUCGUCGACUUCCCUAUUGUCUAUUGCAACGAAAGCUUUUGCAAAAUCUCUGGCUAUAAUCGUGCCGAGGUUAUGCAAAAGUCCUGCCGCUGCGGAUUCAUGUACGGGGAGUUGACGGACAAAGAGACGAUCGCCAGGAUCGAGGAAUGCCUCGAGGGCCAGAUUCACGAUCAAUUCGAGAUCCUGCUGUACAAGAAGAACAGUGCCCCACGAGGUAUGUCUAGCACAGGUUCGCAAAAGAGUGCUCGAAAGACCCACCACCUGAACAAGAGACGACACACUUACAAGGAUCGUCGAACGAUCCCUGGACCAAGGGGCGGCCAUAAUGAGAGGACACUGUUCGACCUCCCACCUACUCUUGAUUUCAAAACACCGCUAUGGCUGCUUCUGCAAAUAGCGCCAAUAAAAAACGAACGGGACCUGGUGGUCCUGUUCCUGUUGACCUUCCGGGACAUCACUGCCCUGAAGCAGCCAAUCGACACGGACGACAGCAAAGGUGGCCUCUCGAAGUUCGCCAAACUAGCCAGAUCGGUCACCAGGUCCAGAUCCGUUCUUGUCUCACAGUUCAGCUCACAUCUGCCCGCCCUGAAGGACUCCGCGUUACCAACCACCACCAAACAAUCGCACUUAGCUCAUAUGAUGUCGUUAAGCGGCGACGUGAUGCCGCAGUACAGACAGGAGGCGCCGAAGACUCCGCCACACAUUUUGUUACAUUACUGCGCGUUCAAGGCAAUCUGGGAUUGGAUCAUUUUGUGUUUGACCUUUUACACGGCCAUCAUGGUGCCCUACAACGUCGCGUUCAAAAACAAGACCAGCGAGGAUGUGUCCCUGUUGGUCGUCGACAGCAUCGUCGACGUCAUAUUCUUCAUCGACAUUGUCCUCAACUUUCAUACGACGUUCGUUGGUCCGGGUGGCGAGGUGGUGUCUGACCCAAAGGUGAUCAGAAUGAACUACCUGAAAUCAUGGUUCAUCAUCGACCUCCUAAGUUGCCUUCCAUACGACGUGUUCAACGCGUUCGACCACGACGAGGACGGCAUAGGUAGUUUGUUCUCGGCGUUGAAGGUGGUGCGUCUGCUUCGUCUGGGUCGGGUAGUUCGCAAACUAGACCGGUAUCUGGAGUAUGGAGCCGCGAUGCUCAUUCUUCUGCUCUGUUUCUACAUGUUGGUUGCUCACUGGCUGGCCUGUGUCUGGUACGUCACUUUAAGGUACUCGAUAGGAAGGUCGGACGCCGACAACGGGGUUCAAUAUUCAUGGCUGUGGAAGCUGGCGAACGUCACACAGUCACCCUACAGCUAUUUGUGGACUAAUACCAGUACUGCGCCGGAGUUGGUCGCAGGACCGUCCAGGAGGACUAUGUACGUCACCGCCUUGUACUUCACGAUGACCUGCAUGACCUCCGUUGGCUUCGGCAACGUCGCCGCGGAAACCGACAACGAGAAAAUAUUCACCAUCUGCAUGAUGAUCAUCGCUGCUCUACUGUACGCCACGAUCUUCGGUCACGUCACCACAAUAAUUCAGCAAAUGACAUCCGCCACCGCCAAGUAUCACGACAUGCUGAACAACGUGAGAGAAUUCAUGAAGUUGCACGAGGUGCCGAAAGCCCUAAGCGAGCGAGUGAUGGACUACGUGGUGAGCACCUGGGCGAUGACCAAGGGCCUAGACACCGACAAGGUACUCAAUUACUGCCCGAAAGACAUGAAAGCGGACAUCUGUGUUCACUUAAACAGGAAAGUCUUCAACGAACACCCAGCGUUCAGGUUGGCCUCCGACGGUUGCCUGCGGGCACUGGCGAUGCACUUUACAAUGUCGCACAGUGCGCCCGGCGAUUUGCUUUAUCAUACAGGCGAGUCGAUCGACUCGUUGUGCUUCAUCGUGACUGGGAGUCUCGAGGUGAUACAAGACGACGAGGUUGUGGCUAUCCUUGGCAAGGGAGACGUGUUCGGAGACAGCUUCUGGACGAAUCCGUCCGUGGGACAAAGCGCGGCCAACGUGCGAGCUCUGACCUACUGCGACCUUCACACUAUCAAGAGGGACCGACUGUUGGAAGUGUUGGAUUUUUAUCAAGCUUUCGCAAACUCCUUCGCCAGGAACCUCGUUUUGACCUACAACCUGAGUCACCGGCUGAUAUUUCGAAAAGUGGCCGACGUUCGCCGGGAGAAAGAGUUGGCCGAGAGAAGGAAAAACGAGCCUCAAUUGGAUCAAGCACAGGAUCAUCUGGUGCGAAAAAUCUUCUCGAGGUUCAAGACCGACGGGGAUGCCCAGAUUGGCGCGACUAGGGCCGCGAACGGACGAUCCCAACAGGAUUCCGACGAGGAGCUCACCGUGAACGUCCUGCCGCCCUGGCCCAGUUUUAGGUUCCGCAGGGAGAGGCACACCGCCGACGUGGAGAAAGGGGACAGCAAAGACGGGAAGGACGGCAAAGAGGGAGAAUCGUCGCACACUAGAAAACUCUCCGCAGCGGAGGAGACCACUGCCGUGAAAACGCGACCUGGAAAAUGGGGACGACUGCUAGGGAGCUCGAGUCUGGACUCCGGAAGCGAAGCAGGGACCGGUGUGGACACCUUCAAGCGUUCGCUCAGCGCCAGGGACGCCCGUCCCGGUUCGAGCGCCGGUGGUAACAAGGUGUUCCCAAAGUUCGGCAAGCUCAGCGGCACCAUCGAGGAGACAGCGGACUCAGAAAGCGGUAAAGACGCUCAGCAGCAGCAGCAGCAACAGCAACAGCAGCAGCAGACCGUAACAGACUCGAAACAGCUGCAGCUCCGUCGUCUGGAGAGCUACGACGACGGUCUGAUCACCUCGCAGCCCAGCCACGACCGCGAGAUCCUCGCCGCGGUGCUGGAGGUGAAGGUCGAUCUAAAGCUGGAGGUGCAACGGGUGAACCAGCGGCUGGCCAAGAUCGAGGACAUGAUGCAGACGCUGAUGAGUCGGCUGCCGGUGUGCAACUCGCAGCAGCAGAAGAGUUCGAACAGCGGAGGCGGUGGCUCGAACCAGUCCGGUCAGGGUUCGUCCGGUUCUCAGCAGGGAUCUCAGGCUACGCAGACGCCGGAGCAGAAGGUGUCGCUUGCGACCACGUCCACCUCGACCACGUGCACGGAGAGCUAUAGGGAGCAGGGCACGACCACCGAGCGAACCUCCAAGUCUCAGGAACACCAUCAUCAUCACCAUCAUCAUCAUCAGUCGCAGCAACAGUCGGACAGGCUGAAGGAGUCGGAUUACAAGAGCUCACCCAGAGACGUGAGCAAGGAGCUUCUAGAGAGGCUCGCGCAAGCUUCGACCUCCAGAGGGGACGACUCCACUCCGCUUGGACCCCUGAUCCUCAGGAAACGCAGGAGCAAGUCGCGGAACAAGGGCGCAGCGCCGCUGGCGCCCCUCGCCACCCAGCCUAUCAGCCCGUCCGAAGCGACAGAAACCACGCAGAUGCUCGAGUGCACCGACGACAGGGAACAGAGCACCGCCACGACGGACAGGAGCGACAGGCCCGACAGGAAGAGGCCUCCGCCCAGGACCAGGGAGUACUUGUGAAAGUUCUUACGGCUCCGGACGGUCUCUGAAUUCCUGCAUCGAACAGCGAAGGUCGUAGAAUGUCCUGGCGGAGGGUUUGAGUCUUGGAUACUCAACCGAGUCGUCGAGUUGUUCGUAGGGAGUUGCCUUAAAGAGUUGUUGGUUAGAAGUCCGAGUGAAGAUCGUGAAACGAGUUUGGAUGAAUCCGAGGCGCUCGAGCAGACUGUUUCAGCGAACAUUGUUUUUCAACGAAGUGAUAAAGUCGACGAACGAUUAACAAAUAAACCGUAAUAUCCGUUAAGUUCACCGCGUACGUUUAAGUACACGCUGCAUUUUCGCUACUCGCUUCGCGUACGGUCUUCAACGAGCCUCGUCGAAGGUCGUCGGAACCUAAGCUAAUUGAAAAGUACUAGUAGCGUAUCGUCGAAUGUAAGCGAACAACAAAGAAGAUUACGAUGAAAAUGAAAGGGGAGAGGGUGGUCUCCCGCUACUAAACUUGGCAUAUUUUUGCAUGGCCAAAUCACGCGAUAAAACCAAGUAUAUCGAAUUAACUGCUUGCGACGGCUUCUUCGAGACAUCGAACGUUAAACGAGAACAAAGAAACUAAUCAGAAUACUCGUGUUCUACCUAAAGCUACACACACACACACACGUGUACGCAUACACGUACAGAUACACUGUAAUUGUAGAUUUACACGCAUCUUAGGGGAUCUCAGUUAGAUCGCGAUAGAUUUAUAAGCGGCAAAGUGAACGGUACAACGGUUCUCAGAGGCAAUCUUGCGAGAUCCCCGUAUCGAGUUCGAACGCGAUCCGAAUCGGGCCGAAUCGUUUUCCUGAAUCAGUGCUGUCGAAGGCCUGAACUUCCAGAACCAAUUGCCUAAUAUGUAAUACGUUUCGGUGAAGUGGCGACCUCUGUACCGAUCUGGGAACGCGAGGUUCCUGCUCUGUCGUUUCAACGAAAAUGAAGGUGCCACGUGAGGGAUUACGGGACAUUCGGUACGGUAACUACCCGUCCACACCGUUUUCUGUGUAGGCCGAACGACAGACGGGUAUCUUCGAUUUUGGGAGAUGUGCAUAAAGAAAGCCCAGACGUUCUCUUUCUAUUCUUAUAUCUGUACGCAUGCGCGGCAACGGCGGCUUAAUUUCUCGUGGCCGCUCUCGUCGACAGCACUGAUUUAUGAAUGGGUCCGUGGUGAGGAGACAUCGGCUAGAAUCGCGUUAGGGAUUUUUAUCGGCGGAACACUGGCAGGAGACUGAAGCGGAUAAUGAAACCCUCCCAUGGACAGCACCCUAACUCGCGACCCGAAGAUUCUCUACUUUGUUACGUUGAAAACAUGACCUAAUCCCGCGUAUGGUGGCAUUCACGGAAGCCAAACAGCAAUAUUAGGUGUAUAUAUCUCUUGUAACUACGGUCACGUGUAUAUAUGUACUCGUAAAUGAGAGGCGCGCGUGUUCGUGGCAGCGCAUUUGCGAGGCUGCAUUCCGUUAACGAGUGUAGGGAUUAUUGGUACCAAACCUUAUUUCAUUGACCUAGACGAUGUCGACCUUGAGUCACUUUCUCUUACAAUUGUCUUGUAUUUUUAGAAAUGAUCAGACUUACUUUUACUUGGGGUCAUUUACUUAGGCUCAUUGUAACUUUGCUUAUAGUUGUAUUCAUUUACUUAUACUCAUUGUAAAUUUGCUUAUACUCAUGCUUAUGUUCAUUUAUUUAUACUCAUUGUAACUUUACUUGUAGUCAUACUCAUAUUUAUUUAUUUACAGUCAUUGUAACUUUGCUUAUAGUCAUACUCAUAUUUAUUUAUUUACAGUCAUUGUAACUUUGCUUAUAGUCAUACUCAUAUUUGUUUAUUUACAGUCAUUGUAACUUUGCUUAUACUCACACUUAUGUUCAUUUACUUAUUGUUAACUCAUUGUAACUUUGCUUAUAGUCAUAUUCAUAUUUAUUUAUUUACAGUCAUUGUAACUUUGCUUAUACUCAUGCUUAUGUUCAUUUACUUAUUGUUAACUCCUUAUAACUUUGCUUAUAUUCAUACUUAUAUUCAUUUACUUAUACUCCCUUGCUUACCGCCAUCUUGUUUGACACUCUACUGUAAACAAAAUGGUCGCCAACUGCGACUCUACAUCGUUGAGGAUUUCGUUAACAAGAUAUUGCAGAGGUAAUAAAAUCGAUGAGGUAUCCUAAUGCAAAUAAUUAAUUAGAUGAAAAAGAUGGACAAUUAAGUUAUGAAGAGAAGGUUAAUGAAAUUAGGGUUGACUAAUCCGCAUAUUUACGAGUAACGGUCUUUUCUUUUCGUCUCUUUCCGGGCUUCCAACGCAGCUUCUCUACGAUUUCUAAAAAGCGAGUUAAAAAGGCGAAGGCCUUGAUCGGUGUUCCAUUCGCAGGCAUCCGUUGCGAAACAACGGUACAUUUUGUUGCGUUGCUGUCGCCCGUUAACCGAACCUAACCUAUAAAGCAACAUAUACACAAUUUUGAAGGACAAUCAAAGAUGGAAAGUAUCGAUCAUAAUAGGUCGACGCGAUUAAUCGAUUAAGGCUAUAGAUAAUAUUUCGUUAGCUUAAACUUUAAUCCGAAGCGUAGUACCCUGGCGUGGAGCGACGCGUACGAAUAAUUUUGCACGGUGCGAAUGGGAUUUGACAUUGCGGACUAGCGUUUAGUCAUUUUUAUAAAUACCGAAACGGGGAAGAACCACACGACGAAAGAACGAAAAGGAGAGACGAAUGCACGUCGCGAUCGCGCCGACAGGAACAUCGAUGCGUGUAAAUAUUAUAAAUAUUAUACAAAAGAGAGUGCGUGGAAAGAGAGUGUAUGUGAGCGAAUAUAGUUCUAAUCUGACGUUAAAUCGAGGAAGAUAUAUAUAAAAGAAGAAAAAGUAAUUAUCGAGCAGUUACGAGGACUUUGUUAAUUAGGUUUUUAGCGACGGAUACGAUAUAGUUGGCUCUAUCGUAGUUUCUAUACUUUUAACGGGAAACGAAAGUGACGCGCAGUUCAACGUUUCUAGUCCUCUCAAGGAGGAAUGUAUGGAACAGGGACGACGUUCCGGAUGCGACAAAAUCACGUGACCGACGAUGCAACGACAAAACCCUUCUCGCGUUCGAGAAAGAAAUUGUAGUACAUCAGAAACUGUCGAGGAACGUUUGAAAAACAGACAAAGAUAUAAACAUGUGAUAUUACGAUUUUAUAUGUGAAGCUGAUAUUGCUAUACACAUAGGACAAACCGAGAUGUGUAUAUGUAUCAGCUACAUCGCAAUAAAUUGAUUAUAUCGCGCUGUUAUUCUAAAAUUAUAAGCGCGGCGCGACACGAGUCGUCGUUCUUUUAUUGUACAAUGGAACUUUUAUUGCCUAUUCAGUUCGUUUGUUGCAAUUUAUUUUCUUACGCUAAAUAGGGGUUAACGUGGGGUCGCCAUUUUGUUGGCGGCCAUCUUGUCUGUUAGCGGCCAUCUUGUUUACGGCCAUCUUGUUUAGCAUCACACUUUUCGACUUUAUUAAGCAUGUAUUGUUUAAACAAAAAUACAGUGUGUGACACAGUGUGAAAUACUUAUUAACAAGAUGGCCGCUAGCAAACAAGAUGGCCGCCAACAAGUGACUCGACGCAUUUAACCUCUAUUUUUUCCAAAGUUUGUAAAGCUUAUUUCGAAUUGCCAUGCAACAUUAAUAGCGCCGUAAUUCAGUUGAAAUAGGAUAUUUUGUUCGGGGAAAACAAGAAGACAGAGACGACGACAGUGAUCGCCACGACGAUCGAAGAAGCCGUGAUCGUAUCGAAUUUUUUUGUGAAAAUGAUCGAGGAGAGAGUCUAUAAUAGCUAUCCGACGAAAUAACAAAAUAAAGAAAAAAAUAUAUAUAUAUAAUUAUUAUUAUUAUUAUUAUGAUUAUUAUGAUUAGAAGAGGGAGGGGGGACAAAUUUUUGCUAUAACUAACACUUCGUCCAUUUUUCUAUAUGGGCAAUUCGUUGCACUGUAAUCGAUCCUCGGCCUUGUAAAUUCUGUCCUUGUCACUUCCGGUAGCGCUCUUCGAUUGUCGAGCGUCACGGAAUACCGCUCGGUCGAUGUACAUACUGUUCGAUGGCUCGCAUAUGAAAUUUUAAUGAAUUUCAAAAUACUUCAAGAUAAUUAACUCGGAAGCCUCGUUCGAAAAAUUUGAUCACAAUACUUAUUUAUAAAACAUUGCCUUUAAAAUAAAAUUGCAGUACAAAAUAAAAUUACAUGAUGCAAAAUAAAAUUAGUACAAAACAAAAUUAGAGUUAACAAAAGUAUUAAAAGAAGUUUAAAAAGAAUUAUAUCUGCGUUUAAAUAAAAAAUAUGACAUUAUGAUAAUUGUAUGACAAUAUGACAAUUGACACUAGAUUUAUAGAACUUGUUGAAAUGACACAUAUGUUAAGUUACAGAAAUUAUUUAUUUAUUACAGUAUUUUAUUUCUAAUAAAAAAGUAGAUGCAAGUCUGUAAACCUAGUGUUCAAAGAAUCUGUCCAAAAUUGAUUAAAAAAAUAUAUAUAGAGUCGUACAUCAAACAGUAUUUACAGCAUCGACGUUAAAAACGGUGAAGAAAUACUCGAUUUCAUGGAUGAUGAGUCCGCCAUUUUGAUCGGUUCGAGUCCGCCAUUUUGAUCGGUUCGAAUCCGCCAUCUUGAUCGGUUCGAGUCCGCCAUCUUGAUCGGUUCGAGUCCGCCAUUUUGAUUAGUUCAAGUCCACCAUUUCUCGGUCCGAAAAGUACUCAAACGCUAAAAUUUCCGAAAUUGUUAAAUCUUUAAAUUCGAUACCGAUCAUCCAUGAGAAAAGUACAAUAUCGCUAAGUUAGACUUCCGUGGCGCUCGCGGCUCGACGAGCCAAUUCUCGUCAAAUCUCGAAUCUCGACAGCUAAAAAAAAA
This is an unclassified non-coding RNA of Megachile rotundata (alfalfa leafcutting bee), 8742 nucleotides long. The record is from RefSeq and is a predicted model, not a curated record. NCBI's taxonomy places the organism in Eukaryota, Metazoa, Arthropoda, Insecta, Hymenoptera, Megachilidae.